CCCUUAGAUGUCCGGGGCCGCACGCGCGCUACACUGAAGGAAUCAGCGUGGCUUUCUCCCUGACCCGAAAGGGUUGGGAAACCCGUUGAAUCUCCUUCGUGAUAGGGAUUGGGGCUUGAAAUUGUUCCCCAUGAACGAGGAAUUCCCAGUAAGCGCGAGUCAUAAGCUCGCGUUGAUUACGUCCCUGCCCUUUGUACACACCGCCCGUCGCUACUACCGAUUGAACGGUUUAGUGAGGGCCUCGGAUUGGUCUCGGCCCGCUCCUUACCGGGCGGCGCCGUUGGUCGAGAAGACGCUCGAACUUGAUCGUUUAGAGGAAGUAAAAGUCGUAACA
Molecule: ribosomal RNA, 334 nt
Filed under: uncultured eukaryote
Lineage: Eukaryota
Description: partial 18S ribosomal RNA
Rfam family: Eukaryotic small subunit ribosomal RNA
Source: RNAcentral